Molecule: ribosomal RNA, 440 nt
Filed under: uncultured bacterium
Lineage: Bacteria
Description: partial 16S ribosomal RNA
Rfam family: Bacterial small subunit ribosomal RNA
Source: RNAcentral
CCUACGGGUGGCAGCAGUGGGGGAUAUUGCACAAUGGGGGAAACCCUGAUGCAGCGACGCCGCGUGUAGGAAGACGGUCCUCUGGAUUGUAAACUACUGUCCCCAGGGACGAAGAUGACGGUACCUGGGGCGGAAGCUCCGGCGAACUACGUGCCAGCAGCCGCGGUAAUACGUAGGGAGCGAGCGUUGUCCGGAAUUACUGGGUGUAAAGGGAGCGUAGGCGGGGAUGCAAGUUGGGUGUUAAAUCUACCGGCUCAACUGGUAGUCGCACUCAAAACCGCAGCUCUUGAGUGAAGUAGAGGCAGGCGGAAUUCCUAGGGUAGCGGUGAAAUGCGUAGAUAUUAGGAGGAACACCAGUGGCGAAGGCGGCCUGCUGGGCUUUUACUGACGCUGAGGCUCGAAAGUGUGGGGAGCAAACAGGAUUAGAUACCCUGGUAGUC